RNAcentral lists this small nucleolar RNA (130 nucleotides) under Cicer arietinum (chickpea). RNAcentral's name for it is "Small nucleolar RNA SNORA69". Lineage: Eukaryota; Viridiplantae; Streptophyta; Magnoliopsida; Fabales; Fabaceae. The record is from Rfam by way of RNAcentral.
UUAUGGGUGUGCAUUUUACAGCGCUUUUUUGAGAAAGCGCUGUAAUAUGAGACCCAUAAUAUGAAAUUAUGGGUGGGCAUUUUACAGCGCUUUUCUGAGAAAGCGCUGUAAUAUGCACACCCAUAUAUGA